Molecule: ribosomal RNA, 253 nt
Filed under: uncultured bacterium
Lineage: Bacteria
Description: partial 16S ribosomal RNA
Rfam family: Bacterial small subunit ribosomal RNA
Source: RNAcentral
UACGGAGGGUGCAAGCGUUGCUCGGAUUUAUUGGGCGUAAAGGGUAGGUAGGUGGUCUUAUUUGUCUAGGGUGAAAUCUCCGAGCUUAACUUGGAAACUGCCAUUGAUACUAUCAGUCUUGAAUACCGUGGAGGUCAGCGGAAUAUGUCAUGUAGCGGUGAAAUGCUUAGAUAUGACAUAGAACACCAAUUGCGAAGGCAGCUGACUACGCGAAUAUUGACACUGAUGCACGAAAGCGUGGGGAUCAAACAGG